GAGUCAUUAAUGGAUGCUACCUGGUUGAUCCUGCCAGUAGUCAUAUGCUUGUCUC
Molecule: ribosomal RNA, 55 nt
Filed under: Trigonella spruneriana
Lineage: Eukaryota; Viridiplantae; Streptophyta; Magnoliopsida; Fabales; Fabaceae
Description: partial 18S ribosomal RNA
Source: RNAcentral